Molecule: non-coding RNA, 813 nt
Filed under: Cryptocephalus pominorum
Lineage: Eukaryota; Metazoa; Arthropoda; Insecta; Coleoptera; Chrysomelidae
Source: RNAcentral
GGAAGGCCUGAAAUUUUGCUCAGAAAUAGAUAGGAGGAAUAUAGACGUAUGUCUAAAUUUCAUGAUCAGAUGCAAAAUUAUGACUUAAUUUAAGAAUUAGGUUAAGUUGCUUUGAUUUUUAUACUUAUAUUGGGCUAAAGGGGAUAAGCAGUAGUAAUUAGUUUUGUCCAAUUCAUUAAUUGUGGGAUACAGCAAUAGUUUAUAGCUCUAACAAAAUUUUGUGCCAGCAGUUGCGGUUAUACAAAAAGAGUUACUUAAUUUUAAUGGUUGUUAGUUAAUUAUUUUAAUAUUUUAAAAAUUUAUAUUGAGAGGUGAAAUUUUAAUAUAAAAGUUGAUUUUUAUAAUUAAAUGAUCUAAGAAAGUUUUGUUUAGAAACCAGGAUUAGAUACCCUGUUAUUCAAAUUGUUGACGUGUAAACCGGAUUAGUAUCAGUUAAGUUCUUGAAAAUUAAAUGUCUUGGCGGUACUUUAACCUACCAGAGGAACCUGUCCUGUAAUUGAUAAUUCACAAUUUACUUUACUUUUAUAAUUGUUUGUAUAUCGUUGUUGUAAUGAAUAUUUCUUAAGAAGUUAAAUUUUCUUUUUAUAAAAUUUUAUUUUAGAUCAAAUCAAGGUGCAGCUUUUAAAAGAAGAGAUGGGUUACACUUAAAAACUUAAAAUUGUAAAUUUUAUUUUUUUCGGAUUUGGUAGUAAUUUUAUUUAUUAAAAUAUAAUGAAUUAGGCUCUGGAGUAUGUACAUAUCGCCCGUCGCUUUCAUAAUUUUUGAAAUAAGUCGUAACAUAGUAGAUUUAUCGGAAGGUGGCUCUAGAAUGGC